UCCUCUUUAGCUCAGUUGGUAGAGCGCUCGGCUGUUAACCGAUAGGUCGUUGGUUCGAGUCCAACAAGAGGAGCCA
This 76-nucleotide transfer RNA is filed under the name Clostridium sp. RNAcentral's name for it is "tRNA-Asn". It matches the Rfam family "tRNA". Rfam says of the family: Transfer RNA (tRNA) molecules are approximately 80 nucleotides in length. Their secondary structure includes four short double-helical elements and three loops (D, anti-codon, and T loops). Further hydrogen bonds mediate the characteristic L-shaped molecular structure. tRNAs have two regions of fundamental functional importance: the anti-codon, which is responsible for specific mRNA codon recognition, and the 3' end, to which the tRNAs corresponding amino acid is attached (by aminoacyl-tRNA synthetases). tRNAs cope with the degeneracy of the genetic code in two manners: having more than one tRNA (with a specific anti-codon) for a particular amino acid; and 'wobble' base-pairing, i.e. permitting non-standard base-pairing at the 3rd anti-codon position. RNAcentral also lists the same sequence under 15 other names. Lineage: Bacteria; Bacillati; Bacillota; Clostridia; Eubacteriales; Clostridiaceae. The record is from RNAcentral.